UCUAUUUCCAGACUUUUGUGUGCACGUAAUGAAUUCCAGUUUCUAUAAAGUCGGGGAACUUCUUCACUAGCUGAGGGACUGUUAGCCUCACAAGAAUGACUCCGUCCUGUAUGUCGUAUGAGUUGCUCCACGUCAAAGAAAUUUCUAGAACUACUCCGCAGUAAGUGAACGUUCUUCAUUAGUAUCGAUAACAUCAAAUAAAUCGAUCAGCACGAAGCUAGCAACAAGUCCAUUAAUUUCUUGCUUUAGUUUGCUGCUGAAGUCGGAUCAACUAACAUCUCUUCACUUCUCUCCGUAAUUUUGGUGACGGUGCAGAUGGGAAGCGAAAGUAUUUUGAGUCUGCCCAAUGAACUGUUGACAGAAAUAUUCUCUUACUUGAGCCCUGAGGAUUUGGUGGACAAAGUACGUAAGACCUGUACACGCUGGAGGGACAUAACUUACACAGACGUUCUGUGGAGAAUGGUCACUUUCAGGCCAUCUUAUCAAAUGUCCGACCCCGAUCUUCUCUCCUACAUAAAAGAGAUGCCACAACUUACAUCUUUCGUUCUAAAUCACGAAAGGGAUACCAGCAUGAUCAUAAAUACAAUGCGUGAACAUUGCCACGAUAUUAAAAGUGUAAUUAUAAGAAAUAAAGUAGGAACUAAUAAGAACAGUAUAACAGACAUGUUGCUUACGUUCCCAAACAUGGAAUGCUUUGACGUUGUCGCAAGUGAAUC
Non-coding RNA from Zootermopsis nevadensis, 716 nucleotides. Lineage: Eukaryota; Metazoa; Arthropoda; Insecta; Blattodea; Termopsidae. The record is from RefSeq and is a predicted model, not a curated record.